Molecule: non-coding RNA, 227 nt
Organism: Pelobates cultripes (western spadefoot toad)
Lineage: Eukaryota; Metazoa; Chordata; Amphibia; Anura; Pelobatidae
Source: the annotation of a GenBank genome assembly
GGGAGGAGGAAAUCUCAUCUAAGCAGCAGAUCCUGAUGCUUCAAAUCUUAAGUGAACUCGGUGCCUCAUCUAGUGGCAGAGAACUGAAUUGCAGCAUGUUCUACUAACGCAAGCUUUACCUACCUAGUAAUGCAACAACUAUUCACAUGGUCAUGCAGGGUGUAAAUGAAUGGCUACGGUGCUUACAUUACACAGAAAACAUUGGUAAUAUUACUCUUACCAUUAAG